AGGUUCAGCAGCCGUCACUCUCCCUUCCCCCUCACAGAAUGCUCUGCUAGGGUUUGCCCUAAGGUCCACUUCGAACUAGCUCAAACUCAGUUCCUACUCCGUCUCUUUAGCCGUUCCCAGGACAGCAGUGCUAGCUAUCGUGCCGCCAAGGCUUCCGUUAACCCUUCCUCCAGAUGGGCGAAGUUCUCGUGGUCAACAAGGGAAUGGUGAUUCCGCUGCUUAGCCAUCUGGGCUGGAGUUUUUCUUCAUGAUUUCUUUAGGGCUAUGGCCCAUGUAUCGCUUUAUGCAUUUCUACUAUAUUCUCUUUGUUAGACUUGUAUAUGGUUUCCGUCGGCAUCGUGGUGUGCCUAGUUCUGUAGGGAUUGUGUUAAGGACCCCAAUGCUACACUACAGUACUAUUAUUGU
Vigna unguiculata (cowpea) is the source of this 405-nucleotide long non-coding RNA. RefSeq lists it as uncharacterized. Lineage: Eukaryota; Viridiplantae; Streptophyta; Magnoliopsida; Fabales; Fabaceae. The record is from RefSeq and is a predicted model, not a curated record.